UACGAAGGGGGGCUAGCGUUGCUCGGAAUCACUGGGCGUAAAGCGCACGUAGGCGGCUUUCUAAGUCAGGGGUGAAAUCCUGGAGCUCAACUCCAGAACUGCCUUUGAUACUGGAGAGCUUGAGUCCGGGAGAGGUGAGUGGAACUCCGAGUGUAGAGGUGAAAUUCGUAGAUAUUCGGAAGAACACCAGUGGCGAAGGCGGCUCACUGGUCCGGUACUGACGCUGAGGUGCGAAAGCGUGGGGAGCAAACAGG
Molecule: ribosomal RNA, 254 nt
Filed under: uncultured bacterium
Lineage: Bacteria
Description: partial 16S ribosomal RNA
Rfam family: Bacterial small subunit ribosomal RNA
Source: RNAcentral